UCCUUCAAUCGGUUCAGCAAUGGAGAGCCCUUGCAGGAAAGUUAAAGUAACAGUAAGCCAAAGGUGAGAGAGUUGCUGACAUGAUUGUUUGAGAUAAUAAAAGUGAAUCAAUGAGAAUGAUGAAGGCAAGCACGUGCAUAUUGAAAGACGCUUUAAAGUUUGGAACUGAGAAUGACUUUGGGAGGUUUUAACAGGAGUGAAAUUGAGCACCAAAUCAUUCAGAAGACUUGGAUUAGCAAAUGCUUUAUCAACAGAUUUAAGUGGCAAAUGCUUAAAUUUUUUCUUCAGACUCCUAGCUGCAGAAUAAUGAGGCAGACCAGUUAAAGAUAAAUGCCUCAGAUUAUUUUCUUGGCUCAGCUUUUUCUGGAAAGAAAAAAGGUGUUUGGGCAGAAAAUAACAGAGGCACAAAACUAGCACUUCAAUAUCUCCAAGGGAUGGCUAAAUGGGAACUGUGCCAUCCUUUUUCCUUUUUAUUGGGGUUUUGCUGUUUAUGCUUUCAAAUUAUCUGUCUACAGUUCUAUACUAGUUGAAUUCGUUUCUUUAUUGGUUUGAACAUUCAAACUUUCAAUUCUGUUAUCGUUUUCUAUACUACUAUGAAUUCCUUUAUCAGUUUGAUUGAACGUUCGAACUUUUAGAAACACCCAUCCUCUAUAAUCUAAUCUUAAAGCAAAUUGAGGCAUUUGUCAGUAAGAUUUGUCAUGCAUGACACAUUAUCCCUGUUCCUAAUCACAUUGUUUAUGUUUCUCCAUUCAUGUCGACCACAAUCUGAUCAAGAACUUCAUUCUAACUAAUCCUCAAUUUAUUUCCCUGAUUCUUGUAACACAAAAUGGGAAAAAAAUUUCAAAAUAGGAAAAUGUCAGCCAUUGAAAGCAUACAAUGACUCAACAAGGUAACUGCAGCAUUAUAACAAACAUGAUAUGGAUCCAAUGCCCAACUAUCAGUAACAAGCUUGUAAACAAAACCCGAAAAAGGCCAAUCAAAUGCAAGGUUAAGAAUCAUUCAAACCUUCAAUCAUCAUCACCAAUAAGUGCAUUACUGAUUCUGCAACCAAAGAAAUAUUCAAAAAAAAAAGAAAAAGAUUUGUGGCAAGAAAAUGUUGUCCCCUCAAGCAUGCCCUCCAAUAUGAAAUCCACCUACAUAUAUAUAUAUAUACAGAGUAUACACAAAUUGAAAGCCUGUAACUUCAUGCUAAAGCCCCAACAAUUAUUCAAGUAAGGAAUAAAAUUCCUCAAUAUUUCUCUUUUUCUUUUGCCCACACUUUUCUCUUUGUUGGAACAAUCAACCUUCACCAUGAUCAUCAUCAUGAAGCGUCUUGCUCAAUUUGUAUAGCAUCGAUCAUAUAUAUGAAUUGUUAUAUCUCUGAGAGGAAAAAAGAAAAAAAAAGAAGCAAGAAUUUGGUGCAUAAAUAUAACUUCAAUUCUAAGGCAACAACUUAGAAAACUUUAUCAUUUCUUCUAAUGAAAGAUUCAAACAACAAAUCUUCAAAGCAUUCCUGCACUUUGAGCUUAACUUUAGACAAACCUUCUAUUUAGUAUUGAAAACCCUGAGAUAAC
RNAcentral lists this long non-coding RNA (1553 nucleotides) under Vitis vinifera (wine grape). Its description in RNAcentral is "long non-coding RNA (VVIN_LNC005781)". Lineage: Eukaryota; Viridiplantae; Streptophyta; Magnoliopsida; Vitales; Vitaceae. The record is from RNAcentral.